CCUACGGGAGGCAGCAGUGGGGAAUCUUGCGCAAUGGCCGAGAGGCUGACGCAGCGACGCCGCGUGGGGGAUGAAGCAUUUCGGUGUGUAAACCCCUGUUGCUCGGGACGAACGAUCCUUUUCGAGGGAUGUGACGGUACCGAGUGAGGAAGCACCGGCUAACUCCGUGCCAGCAGCCGCGGUAAUACGGAGGGUGCGAGCGUUGUCCGGAAUCACUGGGCGUAAAGGGCGCGUAGGUGGUUAGAUGCGCCGGUGGUGAAAGCGCAGGGCUCAACCCUGCGUCGGCCAUCGGGACGGUCUGACUGGAGCACUGUAGAGGCAGGUGGAAUUCCGGGUGUAGCGGUGGAAUGCGUAGAGAUCCGGAAGAACACCGGUGGCGAAGGCGGCCUGCUGGGCAGUUGCUGACACUGAGGCGCGACAGCGUGGGGAGCAAACAGGAUUAGAUACCCUGGUAGUCCACGCCGUAAACGAUGGGCACUAGGUGCUUGGGGGAGCGACCCCCUGAGUGCCGACGCUAACGCAUUAAGUGCCCCGCCUGGGGAGUACGACCGCAAGGUUGAAACUUAAAUGAAAUUGACGG
This 580-nucleotide ribosomal RNA is filed under the name uncultured bacterium. RNAcentral's name for it is "bacterial SSU rRNA". It matches the Rfam family "Bacterial small subunit ribosomal RNA", at positions 338 to 916 of the family's 1533-position model. The record is from RNAcentral.